This 301-nucleotide ribosomal RNA is filed under the name uncultured bacterium. RNAcentral's name for it is "partial 16S ribosomal RNA". It matches the Rfam family "Bacterial small subunit ribosomal RNA", at positions 509 to 807 of the family's 1533-position model. The record is from RNAcentral.
CAGUAGCCGCGGUAAUACGAAGGGUGCAAGCGUUAAUCGGAAUUACUGGGCGUAAAGCGUGCGUAGGCGGUGAGUUAAGUCUGCUGUGAAAUCCCCGGGCUCAACCUGGGAAUGGCAAUGGAUACUGGCAAGCUAGAGUGUGUCAGAGGAUGGUGGAAUUCCCGGUGUAGCGGUGAAAUGCGUAGAGAUCGGGAGGAACAUCAGUGGCGAAGGCGGCCAUCUGGGACAACACUGACGCUGAGGCACGAAAGCGUGGGGAGCAAACAGGAUUAGAUACCCGAGUAGUCCCUGUCUCUUAUAC